AUCACAUCCAAGAUCAACUGUGCAGAUCCUCUAAGGGUAUGCAACCUCUCGGUCAUUGGCUUCACACACACCGAUUUUAAGGGAAUAAAUGUCGGAGGAAGACGUUGUUCCUUCAAAUACAUAAUGCAUUCCUUUCCUGUGCUUCCAUCUUCCACCACUACUGCAUACAUGAAUUUGCCCAUGGCAACAGUGACAGCAAGCUUGCAUUUCUUUUGUUAGGGCCGCCAAAGUUCAGUCAUGUGA
Molecule: ribosomal RNA, 243 nt
Filed under: Triticum aestivum (bread wheat)
Lineage: Eukaryota; Viridiplantae; Streptophyta; Magnoliopsida; Poales; Poaceae
Description: partial small subunit ribosomal RNA
Source: RNAcentral